UACGUAGGGGGCAAGCGUUGUCCGGAAUCAUUGGGCGUAAAGAGCGUGUAGGCGGCCCGGUAAGUCCGCUGUGAAAGUCCAGGGCUCAACCCUGGAAUGCCGGUGGAAACUGUCGGGCUAGAGUCCGGAAGAGGCGAGUGGAAUUCCUGGUGUAGCGGUGAAAUGCGCAGAUAUCAGGAGGAACACCAAUGGCGAAGGCAGCUCGCUGGGACGGUACUGACGCUGAGACGCGAAAGCGUGGGGAGCGAACAGG
RNAcentral lists this ribosomal RNA (253 nucleotides) under uncultured bacterium. Its description in RNAcentral is "partial 16S ribosomal RNA". It matches the Rfam family "Bacterial small subunit ribosomal RNA", at positions 524 to 776 of the family's 1533-position model. The record is from RNAcentral.